GGUAGUGUGGCCGAGUAUAGGUGGCGAGUUGUAGCCUCGUCGACUGGGAGUGAGCCCACGCUGCCAGGCC
RNAcentral lists this transfer RNA (70 nucleotides) under Lygodactylus bradfieldi. RNAcentral describes it as "tRNA-Tyr". The record is from RNAcentral. Lineage: Eukaryota; Metazoa; Chordata; Lepidosauria; Squamata; Gekkonidae.